Long non-coding RNA from Rhincodon typus (whale shark), 889 nucleotides. RefSeq lists it as uncharacterized. The record is from RefSeq and is a predicted model, not a curated record. Lineage: Eukaryota; Metazoa; Chordata; Chondrichthyes; Orectolobiformes; Rhincodontidae. The transcript is spliced from 2 exons.
UUGCGCAGUAUCCCGAUCCAGGGUUUGCCUUGAACAGUCGAGGUUUGCAUAUGCGCUCUCUGGCCCAGUUCGGAAGACGGCCGUCGUAUGCGCAUGUUCCGUCUCCCCUUAGGACGUAGGUGCAGUGGGCCUUGCCCAAUCCCCCAAUGGCUUCCGACGCAUGCGUAUUCCGAAAGGAGCUGUAAAAAUUUGGACGUGGCCGGAUUAUGGCUGAGGUAUGCGAGAAAGAGUGUACCUGCGAUCAUUAGCAUGCACAUUUUCCCUGAAUCUCAAGUAGGGACCACAGGACAGCAAUACGGAGCAGGAACAUUGAUCGCCUUAGCCUGAGGAAGGUGUGUGUGAUUGCAACACUCGUACCAUCAGUUCAACAAAGAUUAAAGAAAAGUCAGCACAAACCUAGGAUGACCGUUGGACUAUCACAGUCUGUUAGAUUUGGCUGCUUAGAAGAUAAUCUCUCUGAAACAUUAAGAAAACUGAGUUAUAUGUCAGCUGUAGCUCAGUGGCGAGCACUCCAGACAGAGUCCAAAGGUUGGACAUUCAAGUCCCAUUUCUGAAAGGAGGGAGGCAUAAUCUAGCCUGACAUUUGAUACAGUUCUCAUUGCAUGAGCACUCCUUGCCAGAGAAAAUGACGUUGAAUGAAUCUGCACCAUUUCUCACCAUGGGGUAGGUUUGCUACCACGAGCUUCUUGUUGGGUGGGGUGGGGGGGGGGGGGGGGGUGUCUACAGGGCCCAUGUGAUCUGGUGUCGUACAGGAAAACCAUUUGAAUUGAAUUGAAUUGAAUCAUUCAUUGUCGCAUGUAUUCGAUAUAAAAUACAGUGAAAAGUUUAUACCAUCACCAUGCAUCAGCACCAUUCACAUUUGCCUAAAAUAAAAUACAAAAUAAAGAAA